Molecule: ribosomal RNA, 293 nt
Filed under: uncultured bacterium
Lineage: Bacteria
Description: partial 16S ribosomal RNA
Rfam family: Bacterial small subunit ribosomal RNA
Source: RNAcentral
GUGCCAGCCGCCGCGGUAAUACGUAGGGGGCGAGCGUUGUCCGAAGUUACUGGGCGUAAAGCGCGCGUAGGCGGGCUCAUAAGUCGGAAGUGAAAGGCUGGGGCUCAACCCCAUGCAGGGCUUCCGAUACUGCGGGUCUUGAGGGCGGCAGGGAGAAGUGGAAUGGCUGGUGUAGCGGUGAAAUGCGUAGAUAUCAGUCGGAACACCGGUGGCGAAGGCGGCUUCUUGGGCCGUACCUGACGCUGAGGCGCGAAAGCCAGGGGAGCGAACGGGAUUAGAAACCCGAGUAGUCC